UAACACGUAGGUGACCUACCCCAAAGAGGGGGAUAACGGCCCGAAAGGGCUGCUAAUACCCCAUGUGAUUAGCGAUUCAUUUCGUUAAUGAAAGCUUCCGCAAGGAGUGUGCUUUGGGAGGGGCCUGCGGCGAAUUAGAUUGUUGGUGGGGUAAUGGCCUACCAAGUCGAUGAUCCGUAGCUAGUCUGAGAGGACGAUUAGCCACACUGGCACUGACACACGGGCCAG
This 228-nucleotide ribosomal RNA is filed under the name uncultured bacterium. RNAcentral describes it as "partial 16S ribosomal RNA". It matches the Rfam family "Bacterial small subunit ribosomal RNA", at positions 111 to 334 of the family's 1533-position model. The record is from RNAcentral.